RNAcentral lists this ribosomal RNA (464 nucleotides) under uncultured bacterium. RNAcentral describes it as "partial 16S ribosomal RNA". It matches the Rfam family "Bacterial small subunit ribosomal RNA", at positions 29 to 506 of the family's 1533-position model. The record is from RNAcentral.
AAUGAACGUUGGCGGCGUGGAUUAGGCAUGCAAGUCGAGCGAGAACCCCGCAAGGGGGGACAGCGGCGAAAGGGACAGUAAUGUGUAGAUUAUCUGCCCUCAGGUCCGGGAUAGCUGCGGGAAACUGCAGGUAAUACCGGAUAACAUCUCCGGAUCAAAGGUGUGAUUCCGCCUGAGGAUGAGUCUGCAUCCUAUUAGCUAGUUGGUGGGGUAAUGGCCUACCAAGGCAUUGAUGGGUAGCAGGUGUGAGGGCACGACCUGCGUCAUUGGGACUGAGACACUGCCCAGACACCUACGGGUGGCUGCAGUCGAGAAUCUUCGGCAAUGGGCGCAAGCCUGACCGAGCGACGCCGCGUGUGGGAUGAAGGCCUUCGGGUUGUAAACCACUGUCAGAGGGGAUGAAAUGCAGGUGGGUUCUCCCAUCUGUUUGACAUAGCCUCAGAGGAAGGACGGGCUAAGUUCGU